AAUUAUAGGAUACUCCGUCGAAUUGUUAAGGAAAUACGCCUGACUGCACGAAAUCAUCUGACUCAGAAUCAGAUGUUGACGAGGAGUUUAUAAAACACUUGUUCAGCGAUGAUAUGCUGAAAAAGGUUACUUCAGGUGACAGUGAGGACAAAAGUGAAUUAAGAAGCAGCAAUGAAAAACCCUCUUCAAGCCAUAAAGAGUCAAAGAAGUCUUUGGAAGCGCCUUUAUGCCGAUAGAAGAAGCAGAAAUAAAGAAACCCUUACAAACAGACAACUCCUCUGAACUUAUUUUGUUCUGUAGCCCCAUUCUAGAACCGUCGCCCGACAAGUUUUGUCUUUAUAGUGACAUCCAGGGGAUCUCUGGACAUU
This is a long non-coding RNA of Drosophila subpulchrella, 368 nucleotides long. RefSeq lists it as uncharacterized. The transcript is spliced from 3 exons. The record is from RefSeq and is a predicted model, not a curated record. Lineage: Eukaryota; Metazoa; Arthropoda; Insecta; Diptera; Drosophilidae.